Molecule: ribosomal RNA, 369 nt
Filed under: uncultured organism
Description: bacterial SSU rRNA
Rfam family: Bacterial small subunit ribosomal RNA
Source: RNAcentral
CGAAGGGGCUAGCGUUGUUCGGAAUCACUGGGCGUAAAGGGCGCGUAGGCGGCGGUUCAAGUCGGGGGUGAAAGCCUGUGGCUCAACCACAGAAUGGCCUUCGAUACUGGACGGCUCGAGACCGGAAGAGGUCAGUGGAACUGCGAGUGUAGAGGUGAAAUUCGUAGAUAUUCGCAAGAACACCAGUGGCGAAGGCGGCUGACUGGUCCGGUUCUGACGCUGAGGCGCGAAAGCGUGGGGAGCAAACAGGAUUAGAUACCCUGGUAGUCCACGCCGUAAACGAUGGAUGCUAGCCGUUGGCGCGCUUGCGCGUCAGUGGCGCCGCUAACGCUUUAAGCAUCCCGCCUGGGGAGUACGGUCGCAAGAUUA